This is a non-coding RNA of Pelobates cultripes (western spadefoot toad), 202 nucleotides long. The record is from the annotation of a GenBank genome assembly. NCBI's taxonomy places the organism in Eukaryota, Metazoa, Chordata, Amphibia, Anura, Pelobatidae.
GUUUUACUUGGAAGACUUCACUGAACACAAAUAGUGUUUCAAAACAGUAAAAUUUAUUACAACUAUGAUAUAGUCAGUGAAAGUGACUUUAUUUGCAUUUUUCGCACACAAAUGGCACUUACACUGACUAUAUAAUUAUUCUGAUAUGUUUUAUGGUUUUGAAAACCCUAAUUUGUGUUCAGCGAAGUCUCCAGAGUAUAAC